AACAUCGCCUCUUGCUUCACAUAAGAGGUCCAGCCUGCCAGUGAAUUUUAACGGCCGCGGUACCCUGACCGUGCGAAGGUAGCAUAAUCACUCGUUCUCUAAAUAAGGACUUGUAUCAAUGGCAUCACGAGAGUCACACUGUCUCCUCUCUCCAAUCAGUGAACCUAAUCUCCCCGUGAAGAAGCGGGGCUACACCCAUAAGACGAGAAGACCCCAUGGAGCUUUAAACCUUAAAGCAAUUUAAAUAAAAUAUUUCCACAUAUACUUUAUUUAUGCAUGAAAGUUUUGGGUUGGGGUGACCGCGGAGCAAAAACUAACCUCCACAACGAAAAGAACUAAAUCUUUAUCUAAGAACUACUAUUCUAAGAAUCAACACACUGACGAAUACUGAUCCGAUAAUCGAUCAAUGAACCAAGUUACCCUGGGGAUAACAGCGCAAUCUACUUCGAGAGCUCAUAUCGACAAGUAGGCUUACGACCUCGAUGUUGGAUCAGGGUAUCCCAGUGGUGCAGCCGCUACUAAUGGUUCGUUUGUUCAACGAUUAAAACCC
Molecule: ribosomal RNA, 550 nt
Filed under: Chiromantis rufescens (African foam-nest treefrog)
Lineage: Eukaryota; Metazoa; Chordata; Amphibia; Anura; Rhacophoridae
Description: partial large subunit ribosomal RNA
Rfam family: Bacterial large subunit ribosomal RNA
Source: RNAcentral